UACGGAGGAUCCAAGCGUUAUCCGGAUUUAUUGGGUUUAAAGGGUGCGUAGGUGGGUAUGUAAGUCAGUGGUGAAAUCUUCGAGCUUAACUCGGAAACUGCCAUUGAUACUAUAUAUCUUGAAUUAUCUGGAGGUAAGCGGAAUAUGUCAUGUAGCGGUGAAAUGCUUAGAUAUGACAUAGAACACCCAUUGCGAAGGCAGCUUACUACGGAUCGAUUGACACUGAGGCACGAAAGCGUGGGGAUCAAACAGG
This 253-nucleotide ribosomal RNA is filed under the name uncultured bacterium. Its description in RNAcentral is "partial 16S ribosomal RNA". It matches the Rfam family "Bacterial small subunit ribosomal RNA", at positions 524 to 776 of the family's 1533-position model. The record is from RNAcentral.